This is a long non-coding RNA of Cucurbita maxima (winter squash), 1531 nucleotides long. RefSeq lists it as uncharacterized. The transcript is spliced from 2 exons. NCBI's taxonomy places the organism in Eukaryota, Viridiplantae, Streptophyta, Magnoliopsida, Cucurbitales, Cucurbitaceae. The record is from RefSeq and is a predicted model, not a curated record.
CAUAGCGCCAAAAUCAGCCCCGCCGUCACGCUGCCCCGGUGGGAUUCCUCGUCGCUCACACAAACAGUUCUUGAUUUCUCUCCCUUUCUGAUGUCUCCGGUGCGAAUUCUGGUCAUGUAUAAUGGCGAUUGAAUUUUUAGUGAGAAUGGUUUUGAAUCCAAUGGUGACGAACUAAAAGGAAUCAUCGUCGAUGAGAAAAUUACGUAUAUCGAUCUUUUGGACAAAGUCUAUGAUAUUGUCAAAGUUGACCCAGGUGAAUUUGUGGCCACAAUGAAAUGUUUAUAUAAAGCUCAUGUUUCAACUCCACAAACAGAGAUAUUAGACAAUGAAGAUGUCGAGUUUUUCAUUGGUGAGAAUCUUGUAGACGACCGUGGCCGGAGAACACCCUUGUGCAUCACUAUCAAACGUAGAGAAUCACUAGAUCAAGGGGAGGAGGUACGUUCCUACUGCACAAAAGUCUGAAAUUCCUCCCUUUCUUGCUCUUACUGAAAUUGUAGAACAAAACACAACUUCCAUAAGCUGUGGUCCUCAGACAGACUUGAAUUGUGAUGGUGAGAUGCAAAAUGUUGAUCAACAUCAACAUGAUGAUUGUAAUGAUGAUAGAGGACAUGAUACUGAGGUAGAAAACAAACAUAUGCAAGACGAGACUUACGGUUGUAGCGAUGAGAUUCAUCCCCAUACCUCGAAUGAUAUGUAUUUUGAUAGUCUUACCAUCCGAAAUAGCAGAAAAGACGUCCAAGAAUAUGUAACAUCUGAUCCAUUGAACUCGAGCAUUCAACCGUGCUUGUAUUCUGAGCGGCUGAACACUGAUGUACCAAAAGCUUAACUAUUGAGCAGUUGAUGUCGGGUGAUACUAUAGCAGUGGGUCAGACUUACCCAAGCAAGAAGGAUGUACAGAGCAAGUUAAGUCUUAUGGCUAUAAGGGGAAAUUUCGAGUUCAAGUAAGGCGUUCGACAAGAGAUUUAUUGUUCGUUAUAUGUGCAGACAAAAGCUGUAAGUGGCGACUUCGUGCUUCUUGAUAAGAUGAACGAUUUGGACUGCUUCUUGAUAACAAAGUUCCACACUGUCCAUACUUGUUUGACAGAGAAGGUUCAUUGCAACCAUCAUCAAGCCAGUAGUUGGGUUGUUGGUCAGCUGAUUAAGUCCAAGUUUGAGGAAGGUGCAUCUGAUUAUAUAGACCAAAUGACAUAAUCAAGGAUGUAGAGGAACAACUUGGAUUUACUAUAUCUUAUAAUAAAGCUUGGAGGGCACGGGAAAUUGCUUUUCGAUGCCUAAAGAGAUCCCGGGAUCGAGAGAGGCGGUCUCGGGGGAGGCCAAGGAAUCAAUUUACGAAGAGUCGUCUCUACGAUUGUGUGGGACGUGUGGUGGUCGUGGCCACAAUAGAAAAACUUGUAGGACUCUUCUUGUUUUGCAGUGAAGUGCUAGAGAACUGGGAGUUGAUGAAAGAGUAACACCAUGAAUCCCAAACCAAAAUUUAUUUAGGAUAUGUCAUGGGUAAGAGUUUAUAAUACUAAAUAAUAAUUUAGAUGCA